CCAAUAUCCUGCCUUUAACCGCCCCACCCGCUGCCCCUCCCCUUGGCCAAAGCUAAGUAAAUCUAAUUCAGCUCUGUGCGUUGAGAAGAUUCUCGAGGCUGAUGAUGUAAACAUGCCUUUAGGCAGCUACCUUAGCUGGGCAAAGGGAUGGUAUGGCAGUUGGCAGUCUGAAUCCAGCUGUCACCACUUUUGAGUCAUGUAAACUUGAACAAAGCAUGUCACUUUUCCUCUCUGAUUAAAUGGAGAUCAUAAAACCUCACCAAAUUGUUAUGAAGCUUAACUAAGACAGUAGAGGUGAAAACCAUGUUAGUCAUUAUUACCCUGGUUUAUGCAGCAACAAAACCACGUUAGGGAAGGAGAUUUUCAAUUAGCCUUUGCUACAGGGGCCUCUUGCAAACAGGAAGCCCUAUGCCCUCUUUAGAGAUGAGUCCAGAAACCCCCAUGAAACCACAAGUCCCUGGGCACCAAUUCUCAGGACAAGGCUGAGUUUGGGCCCUGAUAGAGACUGAAUCUUGAACAUGGGAUACUAGGCCACCCAAACUGUCCAUCAUGAAGUCGGUAUUAUUUGAUGCACUGAGUCCUAAGUUGAAGCAGCACUCAGUGUACAACGGAAUGGCAUAUACAUGACAAGGCUCAAGCAGGUCUAAAAGCUCAAGAAAUUUGCAUGAGCAGGUGCAAGUCUGAAAGACAAGCGUGAAGGCAAAUCCUGCCGAAAGGCAGAGCUUUAAGCAGUACAUUUGUUGUUCACUUCAUGCAGAAGGAGAGAUGGCCGAGGUUCUGGAGGCUGGGAAGGCCGAGAUCAAGGUGCCUGCAGAUUUGGUGUCUGGCACGGAGGAGAGCAGCAGAGCCCCGCUCAGAUGGCAGAUGACCAGACAGGCUCCCUGCACACCCAUUUCUUGGACCAGUGGAAGGUCCCCAAACCAUGACACAACCUUACAGAUGGGGAGCCCAGCCAGGACCCAAGUUAGCUUCUUCUGCGAGACCAGACACGAAACUGAAGGGUUUUUGGCCAGGUUUUCUGCAGUUAACAAGACACACAUUUCUUCUCUCUCUGGUGUGUGAAAUGGGGUGGAGAUGCAUAAUAAACAGGACCCAUGCUGAUGGAGCAGCCUCCAUAUGGAAUAUUGUUAGUCAUUGUGGCAGAGGGAAAGGAAAUGUGGAGAAUCAUGUGCUAAUUCUUAAAGCUUCUACUUCAAAAUGGUCCACUUCACUUCAGCCAACAUAUGUUCCUCCUGAGUUCAACAGUGUGAGAGUGUGGGCUUUCAUAGAGGAAAGGGAAAGGGGAAAAUUCAAGGAGAAUGAAAGGGUUAAGUAUUUCAAAAUACUAUGCUGUAAGUAAGAACAGAAAGCACAUGCUUCUAAGGGUCAUGCUAAGAGGAUUCAGAACGUGAAUCAAUUAUUUUGUGGUGAUGUUAAACAUACCACAAUUGGUACCGUCAAGUUCAAAUUCUCAUAGAAGUAGAUGUUGUGGUGAACCACAGAAGUAAAUACAGUCACUUAGGGAAUGCCACUCACAAAGAACAUCUGUGAAUAAGGCCACUGUGUGAAAAUGGCGCGGUAUGUCAGCAUGGGUUGCAUCCCUGACUCUUCCCUUUCUCUCACACCUCACAUCCAAUCUGUCAGCAAAGCCUUCAAAAUACUAUACUCUGCCUCUCACCACUGUUACCCCCAUCUAGCCACCUAACUGGACCCCCAACUUCUGCUUUGGCCCCAAGGAGGAUCCUGGACAAACAUAUGACAGGUCAUCUCUCUCUUAGUCUGAAAACCUUUUCACACAGAUUAAAAUUCAAAGUGCUUACAGUGCCUGCAAGGACUGAUGCUGACCUUCUGUUACCUGAUGGCCUCAUUCCUCUUCACUCCCUCUUCUGCAGCUGCUCUGGCCUCUGUGGGAAACGCCGGGUACUCUCCCCACUUAGGGCACCGGCUGGUCCCUCUGCCAGGAACACACUUUCCCCAGUUACCUGCAUGGCUUUUUUCCUCACAUCCUUAGGGGUUUGCCCAGAUGUCACCUUCUCUUUUAGGAC
Equus caballus (horse) is the source of this 2024-nucleotide long non-coding RNA. The record is from Ensembl. NCBI's taxonomy places the organism in Eukaryota, Metazoa, Chordata, Mammalia, Perissodactyla, Equidae.